RNAcentral lists this ribosomal RNA (970 nucleotides) under Cadophora sp. TS2. RNAcentral's name for it is "SSU rRNA". It matches the Rfam family "Eukaryotic small subunit ribosomal RNA", at positions 81 to 1059 of the family's 1831-position model. Lineage: Eukaryota; Fungi; Ascomycota; Leotiomycetes; Helotiales; Ploettnerulaceae. The record is from RNAcentral.
GUGAAACUGCGAAUGGCUCAUUAAAUCAGUUAUCGUUUAUUUGAUAGUACCUUACUACUUGGAUAACCGUGGUAAUUCUAGAGCUAAUACAUGCUAAAAACCCCGACUUCGGAAGGGGUGUAUUUAUUAGAUAAAAAACCAAUGCUCUUCGGGGCUCCUUGGUGAUUCAUAAUAACUUAACGAAUCGCAUGGCCUUGUGCCGGCGAUGGUUCAUUCAAAUUUCUGCCCUAUCAACUUUCGAUGGUAGGAUAGUGGCCUACCAUGGUUUCAACGGGUAACGGGGAAUUAGGGUUCUAUUCCGGAGAGGGAGCCUGAGAAACGGCUACCACAUCCAAGGAAGGCAGCAGGCGCGCAAAUUACCCAAUCCCGACACGGGGAGGUAGUGACAAUAAAUACUGAUACAGGGCUCUUUUGAGUCUUGUAAUUGGAAUGAGUACAAUUUAAAUCCCUUAACGAGGAACAAUUGGAGGGCAAGUCUGGUGCCAGCAGCCGCGGUAAUUCCAGCUCCAAUAGCGUAUAUUAAAGUUGUUGCAGUUAAAAAGCUCGUAGUUGAACCUUGGGCCUGGCUGGCCGGUCCGCCUCACCGCGUGCACUGGUCCGGCCGGGCCUUUCCUCCUGGGGAGCCGCAUGCCCUUCACUGGGUGUGUCGGGGAACCAGGACUUUUACUUUGAAAAAAUUAGAGUGUUCAAAGCAGGCCUAUGCUCGAAUACAUUAGCAUGGAAUAAUAGAAUAGGACGUGUGGUUCUAUUUUGUUGGUUUCUAGGACCGCCGUAAUGAUUAAUAGGGAUAGUCGGGGGCAUCAGUAUUCAAUUGUCAGAGGUGAAAUUCUUGGAUUUAUUGAAGACUAACUACUGCGAAAGCAUUUGCCAAGGAUGUUUUCAUUAAUCAGUGAACGAAAGUUAGGGGAUCGAAGACGAUCAGAUACCGUCGUAGUCUUAACCAUAAACUAUGCCGACUAGGGAUCGGGCG